RNAcentral lists this ribosomal RNA (253 nucleotides) under uncultured Acidobacteriota bacterium. Its description in RNAcentral is "uncultured Acidobacteria bacterium partial 16S ribosomal RNA". It matches the Rfam family "Bacterial small subunit ribosomal RNA", at positions 524 to 776 of the family's 1533-position model. The record is from RNAcentral. Lineage: Bacteria; Pseudomonadati; Acidobacteriota.
UAUGUAGGUGACUAGCGUUGUCCGGAUUUACUGGGCGUAAAGAGCGCGCAGGCGGUCGUGCAAGUCGAGCGUGAAAGCCCCCGGCUCAACUGGGGAGGGUCACUCGAUACUGCUCGACUCGAAGGCGGGAGAGGGAAGUGGAAUUCCCGGUGUAGUGGUGAAAUGCGUAGAUAUCGGGAGGAACACCAGUGGCGAAGGCGACUUCCUGGCCCGUUCUUGACGCUGAGGCGCGAAAGCUAGGGGAGCAAACGGG